GCCCUUGGGUGGUAAUGCCGGAUGCUCCAGUUGGAUGCAUGUCCUUCUGGGAAAGAUUCUAUCGGUAUGGGAUGGGGUCGCGUCCUAUCAGCUUGAUGGCGGGGUAACGGCCCACCAUGGCUUCGACGGGUAGCCGGCCUGAGAGGGCGACCGGCCACAUUGGGACUGAGAUACGGCCCAGACUCCUACGGGAGGCAGCAGUGGGGAAUAUUGCACAAUGGGCGCAAGCCUGAUGCAGCGACGCCGCGUGCGGGAUGACGGCCUUCGGGUUGUAAACCGCUUUUGACUGGGAGCAAGCCCUUCGGGGUGAGUGUACCUUUCGAAUAAGCACCGGCUAACUACGUGCCAGCAGCCGCGGUAAUACGUAGGGUGCAAGCGUUAUCCGGAAUUAUUGGGCGUAAAGGGCUCGUAGGCGGUUCGUCGCGUCCGGUGUGAAAGUCCAUCGCUUAACGGUGGAUCCGCGCCGGGUACGGGCGGGCUUGAGUGCGGUAGGGGAGACUGGAAUUCCCGGUGUAACGGCGGAAGGGC
This 528-nucleotide ribosomal RNA is filed under the name uncultured bacterium. RNAcentral describes it as "bacterial SSU rRNA". It matches the Rfam family "Bacterial small subunit ribosomal RNA", at positions 148 to 690 of the family's 1533-position model. The record is from RNAcentral.